GCUGUGUACUGUUGGACCAGUCCUUAAGAUUUUGGAUAUUCCGCUUUCUCCAUCCAAACUCCACUUUCUUCAUGGGUAAACUCAAGCCCUUUCUACUGAGUUUUCAGGGUGGAUGGGCUGAAUAAAUAUGAAUUGUGCAGGGCUCUGUAGUAAUAAGAAAAGUGUGCUGGCUAUUGUGUCAAUGUGCUUUGGAUGGGGAGGAAAGAUAAAAAUGGGCACUCAUGAAGGUAAGAGCAACAGCGCUUGGCUGCCACAUCUUCAAUCCCUGUCUCUCCUCCCCCAGGUAUGGAAGCGUUCUGGAGCGUGGUUCUUCAAAGGCUUCCCCAAACAGGUCCUCCCACAGCCUAUGCCUAUAAAGAAGACCAAGCCCCAGCAGCCUGUCAGUGAGCCUGCUGCCCCUGAACAGCCUGCUCCUGAGCCCAAGCACCCUGCCCGGGCUCCAGCUCGAGGUAGGACAAAACAGGUGCUUCUUUCGGGACCAAGGACAGAUCUUAGCCAACUGGUCUACCUGAGUGAGGGUGGCCUGACAUCAUGUCUGUGUUUCCACCCAGUUGUUGCAUGGUCAGCUUCUGGAUUUGGGUCUAGGACUCCUAUAUCUCCUUCAUAAUUCACCAUAAAUCCUUAUCAAGAGGGUAGUGCAGGGAACUCUCCGGCAAUGCCAAGCUGCCCAGAGGCUUCGUUGUCAUCCGUGGUGGAAUAUCUAGUGUAAAAGAGGUAGAAAUUAAAGUUAGGAACUGAGAGAGACUUUCACCACCAAGAUCACACUGGAGCCUGGGAGAAUACUCAGCUUGCUGAGAAGGCCUUCCUGGACCCUGAUAUUUCUCCUACUAUCCAUAAGCAAGUCUGAUUUGGACUAAGUAAAAGUGAAAGAUGAAUAGAAGGAAAUCAGUAAAAGAAAAUUACUGCUACUAAAUUGCUACUAUUGACAUUAUCACUAUUAUCCAAGUAUUAUGAUUAAUUAUUAAAACGAUUAGGAGGGAGAAGCAAAACAGUAAAAAUUUUAAAAAGCAACAAUAGUAAAAGUACAUUUUAGUUGGACCAGACCAGUAGGACUGACCAGAUAAAGCCCUUGCAAUAAUUUCAACUGACGCUAAGUGGUAAAAUCUGGACUAAAUGACAAUUCCAGAUUGAGUGCAGGUGGUACUUCUGAAAGGAAGGGUACAGCGUUUUUCAUAAGAUAACUUAUCAAGGCCCUUAGCACAAUGCCUGCCACCUAAAAGGCAUUCAAUAAAUGUUUUCUUCAAGGCAAGAGCAAUUUCUACUCCUUGCAGAGAAUCACCAAAUUGUCAACAUACAUAUAUAGCAUUCCCGAGUCCCCAGUUUUCACCACUAAAAGAUUCCUUCUUCCUAGUUCUUCUAGGCUGAAAAGGCUGCAUAGCACAAUUGUUCUUUAUAAAGCCUGUGUAUGCUCGUAUGCAUUUGUGCAUGCAAAAAAAAAUGUGAAAUUGUAAACAGGAGCUAGAUCAAAGAGGAGGUUGGAAGAAAGACUUUUAAUUUUUAAAACAUAUUCUUAGGCAAUAGUCAAUGAACCCCUUUGUAGGCUUCUUAAGUACUGGUUUUCCAGACACCAGAAAACCAGUACUCCUCAUAAUUUGUGUUUUCUUUCUCCAGGUGACAGUGAAGAUAGGAGGGGCCCAGGUCAGAAGACAGGCCCUGACCCGGCCUCUGCUCCUGGGCGAGGAAGCUAUGGGCCUCCCGUGCGCAGGGCCUCUGAGGCACGAAUGAGCUCAUCUAGCCGGGAUUCAGAGAGCUGGGACCACAGCGGGGGUGCUGGAGACUCCAGCCGGAGCCCAGCAGGUUUGAGACGGGCCAACUCAGUCCAGGCCUCCAGACCUGCCCCAGGCUCGGUGCAGAGCCCAGCGCCACCUCAGCCUGGGCAGCCAGGGACCCCAGGAGGUAGCAGACUGGGUCCUGGGCCAGCAGGACGCUUUCCAGAUCAGAAGCCAGAGUUGGCUCCGAGCGACCCCGGGACCACUGCCCCAACCCGAGAAGAGAGAACAGGGGGAGUCGGGGGCUACCCAGCAGUUGGAGCCAGAGAGGACCGAAUGAGCCACCCCUCCGGACCCUAUUCCCAAGCAUCUGCAGCUGCCCCCCAGCCUGCCGCAGCCCGCCAGCCACCACCCCCAGAGGAGGAGGAAGAGGAAGCCAACAGCUACGAUUCGGAUGAAGCAACCACCCUGGGUGCCCUGGAAUUCAGCCUUCUCUAUGACCAGGACAACAGCUCCCUGCAGUGCACCAUCAUUAAGGCCAAGGGCCUGAAGCCCAUGGAUUCAAAUGGCUUGGCUGAUCCCUACGUUAAGCUGCACCUCCUGCCAGGAGCCAGCAAGUCCAACAAGCUUCGUACAAAAACUCUGCGGAAUACCCGGAACCCCAUCUGGAAUGAGACCCUUGUGUAUCACGGCAUCACCGAUGAGGACAUGCAAAGGAAGACCCUCAGGAUCUCCGUCUGUGAUGAGGACAAAUUCGGCCACAAUGAAUUUAUUGGUGAGACCAGAUUCUCCCUCAAGAAACUGAAGCCCAACCAGAGGAAGAAUUUCAACAUCUGCCUGGAGCGAGUGAUUCCUAUGAAACGUGCUGGGACCACUGGGUCAGCCCGAGGCAUGGCUCUUUAUGAGGAGGAGCAGGUGGAGCGUAUUGGUGACGUCGAGGAGCGUGGCAAGAUCCUGGUCUCCCUCAUGUACAGCACACAGCAGGGAGGCCUCAUUGUGGGCAUCAUACGCUGCGUGCACCUGGCUGCCAUGGAUGCUAAUGGCUACUCAGAUCCAUUCGUCAAGCUCUGGCUGAAACCGGACAUGGGAAAGAAGGCCAAACACAAGACUCAAAUUAAAAAGAAAACUUUGAAUCCCGAAUUCAAUGAGGAGUUUUUCUAUGACAUCAAACACAGUGACCUGGCAAAGAAGUCACUGGACAUUUCAGUCUGGGACUAUGACAUCGGCAAGUCCAAUGAUUACAUCGGAGGCUGCCAGCUGGGGAUCUCUGCCAAGGGAGAGCGCUUAAAACACUGGUACGAGUGUCUGAAAAAUAAAGACAAGAAGAUAGAGCGCUGGCACCAGCUACAGAAUGAGAACCACGUGUCAAGUGAUUAGGCUAGUGCCCAGGUCCCCAACUCCAUGUCCCGGGUCCCCCCCAGCCUGCCCUAGCUGCCCACCGCACCCUGAUCUCUCUUCUCUAUGCCUACCUCCCCCCAUACCCUGCUGAUCUCCCUGAGCCUGCCUUUGAGCCCCCGUCACGUUGGGCACUGCUGCCAAAGACUCCCUCCUCCCUGAUGCUGGGAUGUGGGCUCUGAAUACCGCCCCUCUCUGGUCCCUGGGAUGGAGCAAUGGGGAUGGGGUUGGGGAGAUGUUUACAAAGAGGUUGAUCAUUUAAUAACCUCUCAGUUUGGGUAAAUUACAAAGGUUCUUCAUCAUUUAGGACUGUUUUUAGACCCUCCUAGCCUUGAACACACACAUGCACACACACACACACACACACACACACCCUUUCAUUCCCUGUGUUGUGUCUCUGUAUAUCCCCAGUUGUCAGCAGACCCGGACAAUGCUGUGAGAGAAGCACUGGGGCAGAAAUGGAGCCUCUAGGCUCCCACUGCCCCCUGAGAUGUACACCCUGAUUGCCAGGAAAACAGACUGCUGUGUUCAGGAACACACCUUCCCUGCUCCAAGUGCACCAGGAUGCAAAUGCACAGAAUUCCCCAGGGGCUUGGAUGCUCUCCUCUUUCCAAAUGUCACCUGUGUGCUUCCUAGCAAAACAAAAACAAACGACAACAACAAAAAACCCUUCCUCUGUCGCCUUUUCUCCUCCUCCCUCUUCUUUCCCUUCCAUCGUAGUAGAUUCUCUCUUUCUCAGCCUUUCCCCUCUCCUUUCUCUCCCUGCCUUUCUUUCCUUUGCCUUCCUCUCUCUCUAAAGCAGUAACACUGCAAAAACAACAGCAAAAAAGUGUAUGUUAACCUAGCCUCACCUCCUUGCUCUCACCAGCCUGACCAGGAAACUGAGAAACUGGCCUAAACCUGAGAUUCCACUUGGGCCCAUGCUUCUUAAGUGACCCACUCCUCCCGUUGGCAGAGCCAGACAUUCCCAGGGCUUGGGCCAGUGGCUGGCACUGCCCUGGGUGCAUGACAGCAUCCCUUGAGCUGUGUAGAUGCCCCAUAGAGGGGCUCUGUCAUCCGUGGGCUCCCCGGGUGGGCACAGAGGCAUUUAGAAGACCAGGGCUAUGGGUCUGAGGGAGCCUCAUCCAAAGCCUCCAGCCUUUCUCCUUUCUCCGCUCUUAGGUAAACAAACAAGCUACCCUCCUCCCCAAUGCCCUUUGACUCUGUUUCAUUGACUCUCUUGCAUCCCAUCUCUCACUCAGAACCCCCUCCAGUCUCUCUGUCUCUUUGUGUGUCUCUCUGUCUCCUGCACUCUCUUUACUAAGCUUCCUGGGAGAAUCAAAUAAUAUCAUGGCUAUGGAACAGUAGAGAGAGACAGGCCUGAUGCCAAAGGCUUUGGGCUCAUCAUCAAUCUUUCAGUUUCUUCCUAUAAAAAAAAUUAUUUUAUAAGGGAGGAAAAGGCAACGCGGGCAAACAUUAAAAAUUUGAGGUUGAGGUCAGGCAAUCUUCAGUGCCCUGUGAGAAAGGUUUGAUUUUCCCAAUUCUGAUGAAGUCUUCCCUCAUGAAAAUCACCCUCAGUCAUCCCAAACCCCUGACAUUCUCUACAGAAGCAUCAGACAGACACUCAAACUCUCACUUUCCUCAAAUCACAUCUCUUAACUUUUCAACACCCUCCACCCUCAGCUCCCUGCACAAUUCAUGGGAGGACUCAUUUCUUGCCUUGAAUAACCAUUUUCUAAACAUCGAGCUCUUCACCUUCCCCAAGGUGGCCAACAGCUUCCCGGCUGCCAUCUUUCCUUUUGACCUUAUCUUUCCCCAUUAGUCCCUGGUGGCACCUACUCUCAGCCCACCUCCCCCACCACAGUUUCCCCUUAGGAGACAGCAUGCUGGCUGUGUCGCCCAAGCCUGAUGCUGGUGUAGGCGCUGGAAUCAGCAUGCAGCAAGCUCACAGUGCCCCUAGUCUGGGUGCACGCUCUCCCCGACAAAUGUAACCACCUCCUUGCCUAGAAUACACACACGUCCUCCGGUGCAUGCACAACCACCCAGCAUCUUUCUUUGUGAUGAUGUAGCCAAAAAUAAAGUAGGAACAUCCAGGAAAA
Molecule: small RNA, 5182 nt
Filed under: Pongo abelii (Sumatran orangutan)
Lineage: Eukaryota; Metazoa; Chordata; Mammalia; Primates; Hominidae
Description: processed transcript
Source: RNAcentral